UACGGAGGGGGCGAGCGUUGUUCGGAAUUACUGGGCGUAAAGGGCGCGUAGGCGGUGACGUUAGUCGGGCGUGAAAGCCCCGGGCUCAACCUGGGAUCUGCGUUCUAUACUGCGUUACUUGAGAGCGGAAGAGGGUAGUGGAAUUCCCAGUGUAGAGGUGAAAUUCGUAGAUAUUGGGAAGAACACCAGUGGCGAAGGCGGCUACCUGGUCCGUUUCUGACGCUGAGGCGCGAAAGCGUGGGGAGCAAACAGG
RNAcentral lists this ribosomal RNA (253 nucleotides) under uncultured bacterium. RNAcentral describes it as "partial 16S ribosomal RNA". It matches the Rfam family "Bacterial small subunit ribosomal RNA", at positions 524 to 776 of the family's 1533-position model. The record is from RNAcentral.